ACCUACCAGACCUUUCUGGGAGAGUGGAAUUGGACGCUGUCGCCGACGCGACUCGUCUGGAAAGCCUCAGUGUACCCCGCUCGUCGGCGUGACAGUGUGAUAAGUAUCUUCACUGGUUGCCUCUCCGAGGCGCGYCGUGUGGUGGGCUUCUACGCUUCCAACCGUCUUCGGACAAUGACUGACAAUUUGACCUCAAAUCGGGUGGGACUACCCGCUGAACUUAAGCAUAUCAAUAAGCGGAGGAAAAGAAACUAACAAGGAUUCCCCUAGUAACGGCGAGUGAAGAGGGAAAAGCUCAAAUUUUGAAUCUGGCGUCUUUGGCGUCCGAGUUGUAAUCUAGAGAAGUGUUUUCCGUGUCGGACCGUGCAUAAGUUCCCUGGAACGGGGCGUCAUAGAGGGUGAGAAUCCCGUAUAUGGCACGGACUCCCGGUGCUCUGUGAUACACUCUCAACGAGUCGAGUUGUUUGGGAAUGCAGCUCAAAAUGGGUGGUAAAUUCCAUCUAAAGCUAAAUAUUGGCGAGAGACCGAUAGCGAACAAGUACCGUGAGGGAAAGAUGAAAAGCACUUUGGAAAGAGAGUGAAACAGUACGUGAAAUUGUUGAAAGGGAAGCGUUUGAAGUCAGUCGCGUCUGUCGGGGUUCAGCCUUGCUUCUGCUUGGUGUACUUCCCGGCCGACGGGUCAGCAUCAGUUUUGGCCGAGAGAAAAGGGCUUGGGGAACGUGGCUGUCUUCGGGCAGUGUUAUAGCCUCUUGUCAUAUGUCUCGGCCGGGACUGAGGACUGCAGCGCGCCUUAUGGCCGGGGUUCGCGCCCUCGGUACGCGCUUAGGAUGCUGGCAUAAUGGCUUUAAG
This 849-nucleotide ribosomal RNA is filed under the name uncultured Sebacinales. RNAcentral's name for it is "eukaryotic LSU rRNA". The stretch from base 188 to 849 matches the Rfam family "Eukaryotic large subunit ribosomal RNA", at positions 1 to 644 of the family's 3401-position model. The record is from RNAcentral. Lineage: Eukaryota; Fungi; Basidiomycota; Agaricomycetes; Sebacinales.